AGUGGGGAAUUUUGGACAAUGGGCGCAAGCCUGAUCCAGCAAUGCCGCGUGCAGGAUGAAGGCCUUCGGGUUGUAAACUGCUUUUGUACGGAACGAAAAGGUCUGCCCUAAUACGGCGGGCCCAUGACGGUACCGUAAGAAUAAGCACCGGCUAACUACGUGCCAGCAGCCGCGGUAAUACGUAGGGUGCGAGCGUUAAUCGGAAUUACUGGGCGUAAGGCGUGCGCAGGCGGUUAUAUAAGUCAGACGUGAAAUCCCCGGGCUCAACCUGGGACCUGCAUUUGAGACUGUAUAGCUAGAGUACGGUAGAGGGGGAUGGAAUUCCGCGUGUAGCAGUGAAAUGCGUAGAUAUGCGGAGGAACACCGAUGGCGAAGGCAAUCCCCUGGACCUGUACUGACGCUCAUGCACGAAAGCGUGGGGAGCAAACAGGAUUAGAUACCCUGGUAGUCCACGCCCUAAACGAUGUCAACUGGUUGUUGGGAAUUCACUUUCUCAGUAACGAAGCUAACGCGUGAAGUUGACCGCCUGGGGAGUA
RNAcentral lists this ribosomal RNA (536 nucleotides) under uncultured bacterium. RNAcentral describes it as "bacterial SSU rRNA". It matches the Rfam family "Bacterial small subunit ribosomal RNA", at positions 353 to 882 of the family's 1533-position model. The record is from RNAcentral.